Long non-coding RNA from Setaria italica (foxtail millet), 1845 nucleotides. RefSeq lists it as uncharacterized. The transcript is spliced from 2 exons. The record is from RefSeq and is a predicted model, not a curated record. NCBI's taxonomy places the organism in Eukaryota, Viridiplantae, Streptophyta, Magnoliopsida, Poales, Poaceae.
UAAAACCUAGUUAUCUGCAAUAUGAAAUAUUAAAUUUGAGUACCAACUAUAACAUAGAAGGGCAUAUACAACGGUAUUUAGAAGAUAUCUAUAUACCACCAGGUCAGCCAAUCCGUCCUACGUGGACCAUCAACAAUGAUGAGAGCGGAUGGUGUCGUCGUCUCGCGCGACGCCGGCAAAGGCUCGUUGUCCCAGAUCGUAUCGCCAGUCCUCGCCGCGUUGUAGCCCUCGUUCCCAACCGACGACGGCCUUCCUCGAUCUGGUGCGGAAGGCGGAAUCGUUGAUGGCGGCAAAGAGCAUGCUCGCACGCCAAUCUUCCACGCCAAAAUUUCUUCCUCGGUUCCUCCCCGUCCGUCUUGCCCCGGUACCCUCCAAUCUCUCGCCCCCAUCCCUUCUUCCCCCAACCACACGAUGCAUCCCCUGCGGCAUGAGAUGAGCAAGGCGGCUGCGGUGCGGCCGCGGAAGCUGCUAAACGCGGCGGCAGUGCGGGAGCAGAACGGAGUAGCGGACUGCGCGGGAGGUGAAGGGCGCGGCGACUCUUUCCGGCGUCCAGUCGCCUUCCCAGCGCCGAAGCCUUCGGCUGCGCUGAUUCUUCCACCGCCGCCUCGCCCUUCUCUGGAUGCACAGCUUGCUAGAUUUCACGCUGAGUAGUUUGUUUCUUGCAGUGUCUCGACCCGUCGGCAUUCAGCUGAUCAGCUCCACUUCACAUAUUGCAAAGUAGGUGGCGUCGGUGCUUGCUUCUGUGAAUGCCUUGCGCUCCUUGCUUCUUUGUUUACUUCAAAAUACAGAGUGAAGAUGGCACAGCUGCUGCACAGCCUACUGCUAUUUCAUUCUGUCUAGUAAGGCUCAAAAGCCCCCAAUUCUGCCUACUGAAUGCUAGGUAGUGAUUGUUAGGAUGGAUAUGGAGCUAUGCAGGAACACAAAUCCCCUCCGUUUCCAGCUUAUGCAGGCUGCACAAGCAUCGCUGGCGCAAAAGGUCUCAGUUCCGCUCACAUCACUGCGUCUCCUCACCGUGUGCCGCAUCUCCUCACCAGUCCACCACCAUGCCUCCGCCGCCGACCUUCUGCGCCAGCAGCGGGGCUGGCACCCCAGCAAAGGCUGCCGCUUUCGGUGGCUCGGUAGGACACGACGGUGCCGGCUCUGACUCGUCCCAAAGGCGCCGCCUUCAGCAUCCGGCCGGAGCUUCUCGCGGUGGGCGGGGUCCUAGCGCCGGCGAUGCUGAUGAUUUAGAGCAAGCGGCAUGUGGUCGCGGCGACUCUCGCGUCAGUGGCGCUGUUCAAGAUUGACGUCGGCGGCCGCUACCGGAGACGAAUAAACAGGAGCUGGAUUUGUGCGGCCUCGGCCUAGUCUCGUCAAUUCGGGAGCAGAGUCGCCGGCCAAGACGCCUAGGCUGAGCUGCUCUGACUCCGACACGGGGAGCAAGGUCCCACCAUCGGUCAGAGAGCGCAUUGCCGUGGGUCGCUUUGGUGCCAAUCAUCCUCGUCGGUCUCGUGGCCGGACAGCUCCCCGCGGUGGCGCUCACUGAGUCACUGUGCUCUGCGCCGUGUUCUUCAUCUCGGUGGAGGGAACACUAGCCCAGUGAUGACCCCGUCAAAUCCAACUCCGCGGCCAGGUCACUGAAGCUGCUGCUCCUCGAAGCAGCACGCAGAGAAGCAAUGAUGAAUCCAAUUUUGGUUGUGCCUAGAUUCGAUUCACCAUGUGAGAAUUGGAUUUUGAUGCUCAUCAGUCAAUUUUAAAGUUAUGUGGGUUCAAUUUUGUAAUUCUCGAUCUGCAACCUUCCGUCUCUGUUCUUUUUUAUUUUUCUUUCCUUCGCGUGUGUGAACAGAGAUAGCGUAAUUUCCUUUU